This 1260-nucleotide long non-coding RNA is filed under the name Brassica napus (rape). Its description in RNAcentral is "long non-coding RNA (BNAP_LNC001511)". The record is from RNAcentral. Lineage: Eukaryota; Viridiplantae; Streptophyta; Magnoliopsida; Brassicales; Brassicaceae.
CAGAACCCGUUUAUCAGAACGUUGUAAGUUACAAUGUCAGGCGAGUUCCCAGCAUCAGCAAGAUGCGCAAGGUCCUUGUACGCCUUGAGAAUCGAACCGGACUCAACCAUGGUGUCGAAACUCCGGUUUCCACUAUGCGAAAGCCGUAGAAACAAGGAAGCAGGUCUCCCUACUUCCAUUUUAUGCAGCAAAAACCUAGCUUCCUUGAGCUCACCGGACUUGCAGAGACCAUCGAUCAAAGCGUUAAAACUAGGAACCGAAGGAGAACAGCCUCUCUUCUCAAUCUCAUUGAAAAUUUCUUCAGCUUUCCUAACUAGACCAUUCCUGCACAUACUACAAAUCAGGAUCGUCUGUGUGAACUCAUCAGGGAAGGAUUCCGUUUCCGACAUCUCGAGAUGAAGAGACCGAGCCUCUUCCAAAAGCCCCUGCUCACAUAGAGCCUUUAUAACAGCAUUGUAGCAGUAAGUAUCUGGGGGAAUACCUUGACUCGGCAUGCUGCUUAGCAGCUUCAACGCAUCCUCAAUCUUCCCUGCUUUGGAUAACCCUUGAAUCAGUAUCGUGCACAAAACAACAUCAGGCUUGAUAUUCUUCUUAAGCAUAAUCUCAUACAACUCAAACCCCUCAUCGUAUCUCCCACCUCUAAACAAUCCAUCGAUCAAACUGCUGCAGGUCGUCCAGACAAGAUAUCUUCUUUAAGUAUUUCAUCCAUAGACUAACAGCCACCGUGAUCUUUCUUUUCCGACAUGACCAUGUCAUGAGCGAUUUGUAAACGGCUGGACUGUGUCUGAAGUCAUCUUUCGCGUAAAAGAGUUUAAAAGCUUCUUCUUCUCUACCAACUCUGUGUAGUCCGUUGAUGAGAGUGUUGUAAGUGACGCUGUCAGGGGAUAAACCCUUUAGCUGAAGCACAUUGAGAAGCUUGAGAGCACCGUCAAUGUCUCCCGCUUUGCAGAACCCGUUUAUCAGAACGUUGUAAGUUAUAAUGUCAGGCGAGUUCCCAGCAUCAGCAAGAUGCGCAAGGUCCUUGUACGCCUUCAGAAUCGAACCAGAUUCAACCAUGGCGUCAAAACUCCGGUUUCCACUAUACGAAAGCCGUAGAAACAAAGAAGCAGGUCUCCCCACCUCCAUUUUAUGCAGCAAUAACCUAGCUUCCUUGAGCUCACCGGACUUGCAGAGACCAUCGAUCAAAGCGUUAAAACUAGGAACCGAAGGAGAACAGCCUCUCUUCUCAAUCUCAUUGAAAAUUUCUUCAGCUUUCCUAAC